AUGAACGCUGGCGGCGCGCCUAAUACAUGCAAGUCGAGCGAGAAGACGUAGCAAUACGUUUGUAAAGCGGCGAACGGGUGAGGAAUACAUGGGUAACCUACCCUCGAGUGGGGAAUAACUAGCCGAAAGGUUAGCUAAUACCGCGUACGCUUCUUGGACUUCGGUUCAGGGAGGAAAGCGAUGCCGAGGGUAUCGCGCUCUUGGAUGGGCUCAUGUCCUAUCAGCUUGUUGGUGAGGUAACGGCUCACCAAGGCUUCGACGGGUAGCUGGUCUGAGAGGACGAUCAGCCACACUGGCACUGCGACACGGGCCAGACUCCUACGGGAGGCAGCAGUGGGGAAUCUUGCGCAAUGGGCGAAAGCCUGACGCAGCGACGCCGCGUGAGGGAUGACGGCC
RNAcentral lists this ribosomal RNA (396 nucleotides) under uncultured bacterium. RNAcentral's name for it is "bacterial SSU rRNA". It matches the Rfam family "Bacterial small subunit ribosomal RNA", at positions 29 to 416 of the family's 1533-position model. The record is from RNAcentral.